CAAGGGGAGCGGCAGACGGGUGAGUAACGCGUGGGAAUCUACCUUUUGCUACGGAAUAACUCAGGGAAACUUGUGCUAAUACCGUAUGUGCCCUUCGGGGGAAAGAUUUAUCGGCAAAGGAUGAGCCCGCGUUGGAUUAGCUAGUUGGUGAGGUAAAGGCUCACCAAGGCGACGAUCCAUAGCUGGUCUGAGAGGAUGAUCAGCCACACUGGGACUGAGACACGGCCCAGACUCCUACGGGAGGCAGCAGUGGGGAAUAUUGGACAAUGGGCGCAAGCCUGAUCCAGCCAUGCCGCGUGAGUGAUGAAGGUCUUAGGAUUGUAAAGCUCUUUCACCGGUGAAGAUAAUGACGGUAACCGGAGAAGAAGCCCCGGCUAACUUCGUGCCAGCAGCCGCGGUAAUACGAAGGGGGCUAGCGUUGUUCGGAUUUACUGGGCGUAAAGCGCACGUAGGCGGACUUUUAAGUCAGGGGUGAAAUCCCGGGGCUCAACCCCGGAACUGCCUUUGAUACUGGAAGUCUUGAGUAUGGUAGAGGUGAGUGGAAUUCCGAGUGUAGAGGUGAAUUUUCGUAGAUAU
RNAcentral lists this ribosomal RNA (576 nucleotides) under Ochrobactrum sp. L-8. RNAcentral's name for it is "bacterial SSU rRNA". It matches the Rfam family "Bacterial small subunit ribosomal RNA", at positions 87 to 697 of the family's 1533-position model. The record is from RNAcentral. Lineage: Bacteria; Pseudomonadati; Pseudomonadota; Alphaproteobacteria; Hyphomicrobiales; Brucellaceae.